Molecule: non-coding RNA, 369 nt
Organism: Pelobates cultripes (western spadefoot toad)
Lineage: Eukaryota; Metazoa; Chordata; Amphibia; Anura; Pelobatidae
Source: the annotation of a GenBank genome assembly
CUGUAGAGGUGUGUUAGCCCCAGCGAGAGACAAUGUAACACCUCAGAAAGCAACAGAAUUCUUUUUAACUUGUGCUUCUGUAAUCCCUACUGAAAAAUGUAACUGUGAGGAUAAAUAUGCUACUGGAGAUAAAUAAUCACAAUGAAAAGCUGCUAAUACACUUGUGAGGGAUUCCUAAGUGAGUGUGUCUAAGUAUACAAACAUUCAUCAUAGUAACAAACACUGUUACCCCUCAUAUCUUCUAUUCUCAUGUUGUUAGGGUGAAGAUUAAACUUUGCAAAGGAGUUGGUGCCAUAAUAAUUAGCACAGGCACUGAACAGAUAUAGAGCCUCAUUCACAGACUCAUUACUGCAUGAUUGUGUGUGUAUA